Molecule: ribosomal RNA, 1418 nt
Filed under: Lactiplantibacillus plantarum
Lineage: Bacteria; Bacillati; Bacillota; Bacilli; Lactobacillales; Lactobacillaceae
Description: bacterial SSU rRNA
Rfam family: Bacterial small subunit ribosomal RNA
Source: RNAcentral
UCGAACGAACUCUGGUAUUGAUUGGUGCUUGCAUCAUGAUUUACAUUUGAGUGAGUGGCGAACUGGUGAGUAACACGUGGGAAACCUGCCCAGAAGCGGGGGAUAACACCUGGAAACAGAUGCUAAUACCGCAUAACAACUUGGACCGCAUGGUCCGAGCUUGAAAGAUGGCUUCGGCUAUCACUUUUGGAUGGUCCCGCGGCGUAUUAGCUAGAUGGUGGGGUAACGGCUCACCAUGGCAAUGAUACGUAGCCGACCUGAGAGGGUAAUCGGCCACAUUGGGACUGAGACACGGCCCAAACUCCUACGGGAGGCAGCAGUAGGGAAUCUUCCACAAUGGACGAAAGUCUGAUGGAGCAACGCCGCGUGAGUGAAGAAGGGUUUCGGCUCGUAAAACUCUGUUGUUAAAGAAGAACAUAUCUGAGAGUAACUGUUCAGGUAUUGACGGUAUUUAACCAGAAAGCCACGGCUAACUACGUGCCAGCAGCCGCGGUAAUACGUAGGUGGCAAGCGUUGUCCGGAUUUAUUGGGCGUAAAGCGAGCGCAGGCGGUUUUUUAAGUCUGAUGUGAAAGCCUUCGGCUCAACCGAAGAAGUGCAUCGGAAACUGGGAAACUUGAGUGCAGAAGAGGACAGUGGAACUCCAUGUGUAGCGGUGAAAUGCGUAGAUAUAUGGAAGAACACCAGUGGCGAAGGCGGCUGUCUGGUCUGUAACUGACGCUGAGGCUCGAAAGUAUGGGUAGCAAACAGGAUUAGAUACCCUGGUAGUCCAUACCGUAAACGAUGAAUGCUAAGUGUUGGAGGGUUUCCGCCCUUCAGUGCUGCAGCUAACGCAUUAAGCAUUCCGCCUGGGGAGUACGGCCGCAAGGCUGAAACUCAAAGGAAUUGACGGGGGCCCGCACAAGCGGUGGAGCAUGUGGUUUAAUUCGAAGCUACGCGAAGAACCUUACCAGGUCUUGACAUACUAUGCAAAUCUAAGAGAUUAGACGUUCCCUUCGGGGACAUGGAUACAGGUGGUGCAUGGUUGUCGUCAGCUCGUGUCGUGAGAUGUUGGGUUAAGUCCCGCAACGAGCGCAACCCUUAUUAUCAGUUGCCAGCAUUAAGUUGGGCACUCUGGUGAGACUGCCGGUGACAAACCGGAGGAAGGUGGGGAUGACGUCAAAUCAUCAUGCCCCUUAUGACCUGGGCUACACACGUGCUACAAUGGAUGGUACAACGAGUUGCGAACUCGCGAGAGUAAGCUAAUCUCUUAAAGCCAUUCUCAGUUCGGAUUGUAGGCUGCAACUCGCCUACAUGAAGUCGGAAUCGCUAGUAAUCGCGGAUCAGCAUGCCGCGGUGAAUACGUUCCCGGGCCUUGUACACACCGCCCGUCACACCAUGAGAGUUUGUAACACCCAAAGUCGGUGGGGUAACCUUUUAG